RNAcentral lists this ribosomal RNA (231 nucleotides) under uncultured bacterium. RNAcentral describes it as "partial 16S ribosomal RNA". It matches the Rfam family "Bacterial small subunit ribosomal RNA", at positions 104 to 334 of the family's 1533-position model. The record is from RNAcentral.
CGGGGUGGAGUAAUGUCUGGGAAACGUGCCUGAUGGAGGGGGAUAACUGCUGGAAACGGUAGCUAAUACCGCAUAACGUCGCAAGACCAAAGAGGGGGACCUUCGGGCCUCUUGCCAUCGGAUGUGCCCAGAUGGGAUUAGCUAGUAGGUGGGGUAACGGCUCACCUAGGCGACGAUCCCUAGCUGGUCUGAGAGGAUGACCAGCCACACUGGAACUGAGACACGGUCCAG